AAGGGGAUUAAAGGUGCAAACCGCCGAAAGGAUUGGAAUAUGUCCUAUUAGCUAGUUGGCGGGAUAAAAGCCCACCAAGGCAAUGAUAGGUAGCUGGUCUAAGAGGAUGAACAGCCACAAUGGGAUUGAGAUACGGCCCAUAUUCCUACGGGAAGCAGCAGUAGGGAAUCUUCCACAAUGGGCGAAAGCCUGAUGGAGCAAUGCCAUGUGAAUGAUGAAGGCCAGACAGGUCGUAAAGUUCUUUUAGAGGGGAAAAAUCUGAUGGUACCCUCUGAAUAAGUGACAGCAAACUAUGUGCCAGCAGCUGCGGUAAUACAUAGGUCGCGAGCGUUAUUCGGAUUUAUUGGGCGUAAAGCAAGCGCAGGCGGAUGAAUAAGUUCUGCAUUAAAAGCAGCUGCUUAACAGUUGUUUGUGCCGAAUACUAUUCAUCUAGAAUGUGGUAGGAAGUUUUGGAAUUAAAUAUGGAGCGGUGGAAUGUGUAGAUAUAUUUAAGAACACCAGAGGCGAAGGCGAAAACUUAGGCCAUUAUUGACGCUUAGGCUUGAAAGUGUGGGUAGCAAAUGGGAUUAGAUACCCCAGUAGUCCACACCGUAAACGAUGGGUAUUAGAUGUCGGGAUUUGUGUUUCGGCGUUGUAGCUUACGUGUUAAAUACCCCGCCUGGGUAGUACAUAUGCAAAUAUGAAACUCAAAGGAAUUGACGGGGACCUGAACAAGUGGUGGAACAUGUUGCUUAAUUCGAUAAUACACGAAAAACCUUACCAAGGUUUGACAUCCUUUGCAAAGCCAUAGAAAUAUGGUGGAGGUUAUCAGAGUGACAGGUGGUGCAUGGUUGUCGUCAGCUCGUGUCAUGAGAUGUUUGGUUAAGUCCCGCAACGAGCGCAACCCUACUCUUUAGUUGCUUUUCUAAAGAGACUGAACAGUAAUGUAUAGGAAGGAUGGGAUCACGUCAAAUCAUCAUGCCCCUUAUGCCUUGGGCCGCAAACGUG
This 987-nucleotide ribosomal RNA is filed under the name Candidatus Mycoplasma turicense. Its description in RNAcentral is "bacterial SSU rRNA". It matches the Rfam family "Bacterial small subunit ribosomal RNA", at positions 194 to 1224 of the family's 1533-position model. The record is from RNAcentral. Lineage: Bacteria; Bacillati; Mycoplasmatota; Mollicutes; Mycoplasmatales; Mycoplasmataceae.